GCGUCGGUGGCACAACGGUUAUGACUCUCGCCGACCAUGCAUAUAGUCCUGGGUUCGAUUCCCUGCCGACGCA
This 73-nucleotide transfer RNA is filed under the name Trichobilharzia regenti. It matches the Rfam family "tRNA". Rfam says of the family: Transfer RNA (tRNA) molecules are approximately 80 nucleotides in length. Lineage: Eukaryota; Metazoa; Platyhelminthes; Trematoda; Strigeidida; Schistosomatidae. The record is from Rfam by way of RNAcentral.